This 590-nucleotide ribosomal RNA is filed under the name Carabus lusitanicus helluo. Its description in RNAcentral is "partial large subunit ribosomal RNA". It matches the Rfam family "Bacterial large subunit ribosomal RNA", at positions 1921 to 2748 of the family's 2925-position model. Lineage: Eukaryota; Metazoa; Arthropoda; Insecta; Coleoptera; Carabidae. The record is from RNAcentral. RNAcentral also lists the same sequence under 1 other name.
UUUUAAAUGGCCGCAGUAUUUUGACUGUGCAAAGGUAGCAUAAUCAUUAGUUUUUUAAUUAAAAGCUUGUAUGAAAGGCUGGACGAGGUAAAAUCUGUCUCUAUUUAAAUUAUAGUAGAAUUUAACUUUUAAGUUAAAAGGCUUAAAUAUUAUUAAAAGACGAGAAGACCCUAUAGAUCUUUAUAGUUUAUUAAAUUAAAUUAAUUUAGAAAUAUUAAUGUUUUAUUUAAUUAAGUUAUUUUAUUGGGGUAAUAAAAAGAUUGAAUUAAUUCUUUUUUAUAAUAAACAUUAAUUUAUGAAUAUUAAUGAUCCAGUUUUACUGAUUAUAAGAUUAAGUUACCUUAGGGAUAACAGCGUAAUUUUUUUAGAGAGUUCAUAUCGAUAAAAAAGUUUGCGACCUCGAUGUUGGAUUAAAGAUUAUUUUAGGUGUAGAAGCUUAAUAAUUUUGGUCUGUUCGACCAUUAAAUCUUUACAUGAUCUGAGUUCAGACCGGCGUAAGCCAGGUCGGUUUCUAUCUUUAAUAAAAUAAAAUAUUUUAGUACGAAAGGACCAAAUAUUUGAUAUAUUUAUAUUUAAUUUAUUGAAUAUUA